This 253-nucleotide unclassified non-coding RNA is filed under the name uncultured Pseudomonadaceae bacterium. RNAcentral describes it as "contains 16S-23S intergenic spacer region". It matches the Rfam family "Bacterial small subunit ribosomal RNA", at positions 524 to 776 of the family's 1533-position model. The record is from RNAcentral. Lineage: Bacteria; Pseudomonadati; Pseudomonadota; Gammaproteobacteria; Pseudomonadales; Pseudomonadaceae.
UACAGAGGGUGCAAGCGUUAAUCGGAAUUACUGGGCGUAAAGCGCGCGUAGGUGGUUUUGUAAGUUGGAGGUGAAAUCCCCGGGCUCAACCUGGGAACUGCCUCCAAAACUGCAUAGCUAGAGUACAGACGAGGUAGGCGGAAUUUCCUGUGUAGCGGUGAAAUGCGUAGAUAUAGGAAGGAACACCAGUGGCGAAGGCGACCACCUGGACUGAUACUGACACUGAGGUGCGAAAGCGUGGGGAGCAAACAGG